GAGACGCUACCACAUCCAGGAAGGCAGCAGGCGCGCAAAUUACCCACUCCCAGAACGGGGAGGUAGUGACGAAAAAUAACAAUACGGGACUCUUUUGAGACCCCGUAAUUGGAAUGAGUACACUCUAAAUCCUUUAACGAGGAUCCAUUGGAGGGUAAGUCUGGUGCCAGCAACCGCGGUAAUUCCAGCUCCAAUAGCGUAUAUUAAAGUUGUUGCGGUUAAAAAGCUCGUAGUUGGAUCUCAGUUCCAGACGGGUGGUCCGCCUACCGGUGGUUACUGCCUGUUCUGAACAGUCAGCCGGUUUCUCUUGAUGAUCUUCACCGGUUGUCUUGGGUGACCGGCAAGUUUACUUUGAAAAAAUUAGAGUGCUCAAAGCAGGCGUGACGCCUGAAUAAUGGUGCAUGGAAUAAUGGAAUAGGACCUCGGUUCUAUUUUGUUGGUUUUCGGAACACGAGGUAAUGAUUAAGAGGGACAGACGGGGGCAUUCGUAUUGCGACGCUAGAGGUGAAAUUCUUGGACCGUCGCAAGACGAACUACUGCGAAAGCAUUUGCCAAGAAUGUUUCCAUUAAUCAAGAACGAAAGUUAGAGGUUCGAAGGCGAUCAGAUACCGCCCUAGUUCUAACCAUAAACGAUGCCAGCCAGCGAUCCGGCUGUGUUCCUCAAAUGACACGCCGGGCAGCUUCCGGGAAACCAAAGCUUUUGGUUCCGGGGA
RNAcentral lists this ribosomal RNA (713 nucleotides) under Coelotes modestus. RNAcentral describes it as "SSU rRNA". It matches the Rfam family "Eukaryotic small subunit ribosomal RNA", at positions 400 to 1120 of the family's 1831-position model. The record is from RNAcentral. Lineage: Eukaryota; Metazoa; Arthropoda; Arachnida; Araneae; Agelenidae.